GACGAACGCUGGCGGCGUGCUUAACACAUGCAAGUCGAACGGAAAGGCCCUGCUUUUGUGGGGUGCUCGAGUGGCGAAGGGGUGAGUAACACGUGAGUAACCUGCCCUUGACUUUGGGAUAACUUCAGGAAACUGGGGCUAAUACCGGAUAGGAGCUCCUGCUGCAUGGUGGGGGUUGGAAAGUUUCGGCGGUCGGGGAUGGACUCGCGGCUUAUCAGCUUGUUGGUGGGGUAGUGGCUUACCCAGGCUUUGACGGGUAGCCGGCCUGAGAGGGUGACCGGCCACAUUGGGACUGAGAUACGGCCCAGACUCCUACGGGAGGCAGCAGUGGGGAAUAUUGCACAAUGGGCGGAAGCCUGAUGCAGCAACGCCGCGUGCGGGAUGACGGCCUUCGGGUUGUAAACCGCUUUCGCCUGUGACGAAGCGUGAGUGACGGUAAUGGGUAAAGAAGCACCGGCUAACUACGUG
Molecule: ribosomal RNA, 468 nt
Filed under: uncultured bacterium
Lineage: Bacteria
Description: partial 16S ribosomal RNA
Rfam family: Bacterial small subunit ribosomal RNA
Source: RNAcentral